UUAAACAGGGCCAUACCACCAGAAUCAGUGAGAGCCACAGCAGAGGAAAUCUUGGUGGUAGGAUCUGGGGACGUACCAAACCCGAUGGUGUUAUCAGGUGAGUACUUUCUAGGCCGUCCCCUUUUCUGGAAAACUCAAUGCUAAGAGCAUCUCCAACCAUUGCACCAUUGUACCAAAUUUUGGUGCAAACUUCCUCCAACCAUUGCACCAAAUUUUGGUGCAAAAAAUGGUGUAAUGAAUAGUGUUGCACCAAAUAUGGUGCAAUACUAUUCAUGUUGCACCAUUUUGCACCAAAUGGUGCAAUGUCUUUUUUACCCUUAUUUUUCUUUUUUCAAAGAUAAUGGUUAAGGGUAUUUGUGUCAUUUUCGUUCUAUAAUAAUAAUGAUAAUGAUAAUGAUGAUAAUAAUAAUAAUUACACUAUAAAUUAUAUUAUUAAAGUUUAUUAUUUUUAAUAAUAUAAUCAAUAAUAAUUAAUGUAAUUGUUAAUUUAACGUAAAGUUAAAUUCGUAAAGUUUACGUUUAAAAUUUAAUUUAAUGUAAAGUUUAUAUUAUUAAAGUUUAUUAUUUUUGUAAAUUUAACGUAAUUGUUUAUCAUAAAUUAAUAAUAUAAUUAAUUAUUUUUGUCAAUUUAACAUAAUAUAUGACAUGUGAUAAUAUAGUAAUCAAUAUAUUUGUUAAUUUAAUGAAGUUAUGAUUUAGUAAUAUAUAUAGUUAUAAAAUAAAUAAAUAAAUAAAUAAUAUUUUAAAAUAAAUAUAUUGUCAAAAAUCGAAAGAAUGAAUAAAAUAAUAAAGCACUGUUCAUUUGGUGUAAAUUUUGGUGUAAUGGUUGGAGAAGAAUUUUGGUUUGGUGGAAGAUUUAGUACAAAAUUUGGUGCAAAAUUUGGUGCUGGGUUGGAGAUGGCCUAAACCCUCCAGCCUCCCCGUUGCCACCUGAAGCCAAUUUAUCUUAGUAGUGAUACCCGAUCGGUUGGAUGCAGGGGCAGAAGCCAUGGUGUUAAAAGGGUACAAAUUUUGUUGCUGUAUCAUAGUUGCAGUGGUGGUGGCAAAAUUAUUGUUGCUGAAAAUGGUGUAAGAGUUGUUUGGGUGUUGGGUAUGAGUGUGACCCACAUAGAUGUUUGGGGUUU
This 1124-nucleotide long non-coding RNA is filed under the name Olea europaea (common olive). RNAcentral's name for it is "long non-coding RNA (OEUR_LNC006137)". Lineage: Eukaryota; Viridiplantae; Streptophyta; Magnoliopsida; Lamiales; Oleaceae. The record is from RNAcentral.